GAAAAAUGACAAACAGCAUCAAUUGUGAUUUCAACUACUCCUCCCUUGAUGAUGUCAUGGGGACCUGGAUAGAGACCCAGGGCUCAAUUUUUAGUACAUGGUGAAAGUUGUCCUUAACAUGGUUACUAAAAACUUCUCUAUUAUAAUAUAAGUUAUCAUAUCCUGGUAUUCAAGCAAAAGAAAAUGCUAACUCUUGGACUCACGUACUUCAAAAUAAGAUUGUUACGCACAGCAAAAGCAAGAAGGAAGAGGAUUUAGAGGAAUUUGCCCUUAGUUUUCCAUACAGAUUAACCCGGCUAUCAACAGACUCUGAGAUGUCAAGAACUAAGCCAUGGGACGCUCAGAAGAUGCUGGGCCAACUUCGAGAGAAGCUGCCCCUUCAGAAAAACCUGCUGCCUACUCGAUCCAUCCCAAGCAAAGCGAAUCAUGUUCUGGUGGCUGCCAUGAUACCUCCUUCAAGAACCACCUACAUCCCUCCUCUGAGAAGCCCUUUAGAGGACAAGUUACUUAGCACGCGCUUUCCAAAGCAAAAAGCCCGGCUGCAGGAAUUGCUGGGCUACCACAUGUAUGGGUGGCUUAUGGGGAAUACAGAGGCACCGAGCAUCUAUGGGCCACACUUGGUGGUGGAAUUUAACGACAUCAACUUUCCACCCUCAACCAUUGUUCACUCAUCAUGAUGUGUCUCAUUCUGCUAGUUCUUAGUCAUGGUCAGUAGGCGUUCAACAAUGGAGCUCUCCAUCCAGGCAAGAGAACUCUUUUUAUAUUAGUUACUAUCAAUCAUGGACCAAUAGUUCCCUUCCAGUGGAACUGAGAGGACUGGUGGUCUGAAGCCCUUGACAAUUAAUAGCAAUCUGUUGAAUCAGUCUUUAAAAGAACCACUGGAAAUUAUGUGAUUCUAAUAAACAUUGAUGACCUAAAACAAUUAUCUUAUCCAGAGUUAGUCUUUCCAUGGGAAAAAAAAAUCAAUCUCAUCCAAGAAUGACCAGUGAUAAGUAUCAGUUCAUGCCUUCAGUUAAAUUUGUUAAUCUGUUAAUGGAGAAAAUUUGCCUUGUGACAUUGGACCAAUUAUUUUUAGCUCUCUUAAGUAUCAGUUUACUCAUUUUUAAACUGAAGGUGAUAAUAAUUACUUGAUAUGUUCUGCAAAAAGUUUGUGUGAAGCAUUAUGCAAAUAUAACCUAUAACACACUAUAUCCAAAUCUAUGUCAUCUCCAAAAGAUUUUCUGUAGUGGAGUUUUCUUCUCCAUGUCUUGUUUUAUUAAUAUCCUCCCCCCAUCCAGUCAAGUAUUUACUGAGUAUGUACUAUGACUGAGGUCCUGUGAUAGCUAUGCAUUAUGGGGGAUAUAGAAUGAAUAAAAUAGCAAUCUGCCCUUAAAGAGUUAAGGUGUUGGGGACUGAGAGUAGGAGAAAGGAGGAAGUAAGACAGUCACAUAAAUAAGGAAAAAUCAUGAGGAAUCACCUCCUGGCUGAGGUCAUCAGGGAAAGCUUUAAUGGGGAAAACAAGCAUAUGAACUCGGCCUUGAAGUUGAGGAGAGAAUCUACUCUAAGGGCAGGUAUUUUAGGAUGGUGUCCCACAAAGAUCACCAAAGCUAGGAGUCAGGAGUUCAGUAUUCUUGAACAAGUCAUUACCCUUACAAGACACAAGAGUCAAGUGAAAAAAUGGAUUUCAGAGCACUUCAGGAAGUAUUUUUUAAUUGUAAAAAUCUAAAGAAUUUCAUCAGUUUGCUGGAACUAUAAAGAAGAAGUUAUUUGAUUGGAGAUCACUUAGAGGAGUUUGGGAAGAUGUACGAACUUGACUAGACAAGUCCCAAGUCAUUCCUUUCCUCAUCACUCAUGAGAAGACUCGGAUUAGGAGGCAGAGCAACUCCCUAAAGUAUCCCAAGCCAAGGAGGCCAAACCCAAGUCUAAAACCAGCAUUUGGGCUAAUUCAGUCCCUGGAGUUUUGUCUGGAAGUGAAACAGUAGGAGGAGAUGCCUGCAAGCUCUUUACUGGGUGGGAUUACCAAGUCACUGAUUUGCUUAAUAA
Sarcophilus harrisii (Tasmanian devil) is the source of this 2022-nucleotide long non-coding RNA. Lineage: Eukaryota; Metazoa; Chordata; Mammalia; Dasyuromorphia; Dasyuridae. The record is from Ensembl.